UUGCCUGUCCCAGCCAAUGACUUUGACAAAAUAAUCUGAGAGAGGUCAUCGUUUAUACUAACUUGCUGAACAAUUGAAAAUAAAAUAAAACACUAGCAAUAUUUAAUUCAUGCGAAUUUCAUUGGGUCAAACUCUAGGGCCCAUGACUUGGAGCAUCCAGACUCAUAUGCACAGCCCCUGUUGGGUCAUUUACAAGUCUGGCCCAAUUCACAACUUACGCACAAAUUAGCGCAAAAUUCUGGAGAUAAUCAAUCUUCAUAAGUUGGGUUUCAAAUUUGAAAUACAUUUGUAAUGAAUUGAAACAAGAUACAAUGCCAAACUAGAAUCAAAUUCAUAGAUUUAAACCAUCUGAUGACUCAACGCUAUUUAUUACAAUUACAGCCACUUUACACUAAUAAUCAAACCCAGUUCAUGUUCUUCCCUUCCAUUUCCCAUGAUUUAUUAAAGGUAUUUACCUCUUUAAUGUGAAUCCUCCCUAAAAGCAGGAAACAAACAUAGUAACUCUUACUGUUACGCAAAUAAAUAGCAACUGAAUCAAUGAAAUAUUUUCUUUAUCCUCAUUCAAUUAUAUUUUCAAAUAUAUGAUGUUAACAAAGACAUGGAAUCAAAUCACAUGAAACUGCUUGCAUGUUAUAAGGUCCAAUUUAAUCCAUAACCAUGGUCUAAUCAAGUUUACAAGCAUUUCACUCACCGCUGAAACUAAAUAAUAGCUAAUGGAUCAAAAUAGUAACAGCAAAUGAAUUAAGAAAUAACCACGAUUUCAUUUUAAAGCAGAUCUGGUAUAGAAUUCAGAUUGAGACACAUACCUAAAUCACAGGAGCUAAUUUAAAGAGCAAAUUGCCAAAUAAAGGCCAAACUUGAAGGUUGGAGCUCAGCUACUAAGUUGAUAGCAGAAAAACUUCAAUCACAGAUGAAAUCCAAGUUGAAGAACCCAGAAAAUGAUAGAGGAAAUCAUUUGGAAUUGACUAAAACAGUUGCAGCUCUCCCUAAUUGUUUUUGAGUAUAAAAUUGCUUAAACCUUUAUUGUUUUUUGGUGUUUUUCUUGUCAAUUUUUGAAGCUGAAAUUUUAGAUCUAAGAUCUGAAUUUGAAAGCUGUUUUUGAAUUAUUUUUUAGAGGCUGCUUUGUGACAAAUGCCUGAACGAAGAGAGAGUGAGUGUCAGUGCAGGUGCGUGAAGGGGAGAGUCUUUAUGCGGGAGUCUGUCCAUCAGAGAAU
RNAcentral lists this long non-coding RNA (1214 nucleotides) under Nicotiana tabacum (common tobacco). RNAcentral's name for it is "long non-coding RNA (NTAB_LNC001092)". Lineage: Eukaryota; Viridiplantae; Streptophyta; Magnoliopsida; Solanales; Solanaceae. The record is from RNAcentral.